Sycon ciliatum is the source of this 560-nucleotide long non-coding RNA. RefSeq lists it as uncharacterized. The transcript has 3 exons. The record is from RefSeq and is a predicted model, not a curated record. Lineage: Eukaryota; Metazoa; Porifera; Calcarea; Leucosolenida; Sycettidae.
GUCAGCAGUUCUGUCCGUGUGUAUCAACUCCACCAUCAAGCCAGCACCUCAGAAAGCCAAUAUUGUAUGGAGUCGAGAACAGGGAAGUCCGAUUGAUAUACCACAUCAAGAACAGACAUCAUUGAGUGAGGUUAAUGGUUGUUUCUUGUCCAGUCUUACCAUAUGGUUCCCACUUAUUGAUGGGGCUACUGGAAAUUACACCAUUACCGUCACUACAACUGCCGGUUCUUCAAAACUGACAAUUCCUCUUCGUUUCACCAUUCCACUUUGUAAAGUACCAACAAUCCACCAUGGUCACGCAUAUGCAACAGGUGUUUUUGGAGACGUAACUGAAAAGACGUCUUCAGAUUAUGGGGUAGAAUGUCCUACUGGUUUUAAACUGUCCACUUUGUCCCAUAGUAAAUGUGAAAGAUCACCUGAUGGAAAAGCUAUUUACAAGAAUUUACCAGAGUGUCACGUCAUUGACAUAUGUGAUUGUCAUAGCAACGCAACGUGUACCGUGACUGAUCAGUCUUACACGUGUCAGUGCAAGGUUGGUUUCUCUGGAGAUGGGCAAACGU